Molecule: ribosomal RNA, 442 nt
Filed under: uncultured Aminobacterium sp.
Lineage: Bacteria; Thermotogati; Synergistota; Synergistia; Synergistales; Aminobacteriaceae
Description: bacterial SSU rRNA
Rfam family: Bacterial small subunit ribosomal RNA
Source: RNAcentral
CCUACGGGGGGCUGCAGUGGGGAAUAUUGGGCAAUGGGCGGAAGCCUGACCCAGCGACGCCGCGUGAGGGAAGAAGGCCUUUGGGUCGUAAACCUCUGUUGUAUGGGAAGAAGGAAGUGACGGUACCAUACGAGGAAGUCCCGGCUAACUACGUGCCAGCAGCCGCGGUAAUACGUAGGGGACGAGCGUUGUCCGGAAUUACUGGGCGUAAAGGGCGCGCAGGCGGAUAUUUAAGUCAGCUGUUAAAGUCAUGGGCUCAACUCAUGGAUGCGGUUGAAACUGGGUAUCUAGAGUGCUGGAGAGGUAGGCGGAAUUCCCGGUGUAGCGGUGAAAUGCGUAGAUAUCGGGAAGAACACCAGUGGCGAAGGCGGCUUACUGGCCAGCAACUGACGCUGAGGCGCGAAAGCCAGGGGAGCGAACGGGCUUAGAUACCCCAGUAGUC